GACCUGAGUCUUCUCCUUCUUCUUGUCUCGUCGUGCUCGCUUUCGGAUCGUCUCGCUGCUGCUCCCGACUGCACGCAAGGCUUCAGUAUUGGUCCUGUGGGAUUUUCAAAACCUCAGCAACCCUGAUCCAAUCAGCUUGUGGCAAGAGAACUACCAUAUGUUUGGAAAUCUUGGAGAAAUAAAGCAUUUGCCUGAAGUACAUUCAGAGAAGAUGUGAAGACAGCCUGAUCUAGAUGAUCCUGGGAGAAGCUGGCUGGAUGGUAGUUUUAUGUCUUUCCAGUUCCUGGGAAAUCACAGAAUCAUAGCAUCAGCAAGAUUGCAAAAGACCUCUGAGAUCACCCAGUCCAACCAUCCACCUAUCACUAAUAUUUCCCACUAAACCAUGUCCUUCAGUACAACAUCUAAAUAUUUAUUGAGCACCUCCAGGGACAGUGACUCCACCACCUGCCUGGGCAGCCCAUUCCAGUGCCUGACCACACUCUCGAAAAAGAAGUAUUUCCUAACAUUCAACCUGAAUCUCCCCUGGCACAACUUGAGGCCAUUUCCUCUAGCCCUGCUGCUAGAUACAUAGGAGAAGAGAGAUAUGAGUCUCUUACAACAAAAGUCUGAGGUUCAGAACAAGCUGUGAAACACUCUUUGAUGGCUGCUUCCCAACACUUCCACACAGAUAGGGAAGGCUGAGAACUGCUGCCUGCCAGCUGCAGCAUGCACACUGCUCAUCAGCACCAAACCUUUCUGAACUGUGACUCUGCGUGUGCCUGAACUCUUCCGCUGCCAUUCCUUACCCCUCCCAGAUGACCCCAUGUCCAUGUCUUCAGUGUAAGUAUGCUUAUAUACAAAUUAUAUGACAUGUCUGGAACUGAGAAUCAUCAAAUUCAUUGAAGUGUGGAGAUGCCCACUCUGUUAGCCCAGUGAAUGUGGCAGUGCAGCUAAUGGCAAACACUCAAGUGCUGGGAGCCCCAUUUGAGCAACUGCAUCUGUGCAGAAACCUGGUGGAGCCCAGCAGUGCUCUCACAGCACAGCACUCAGCCUGGGCAAACUGAGACCCGUAGGACUUGUAAUUAAAACUUUACAGCUCUGUGCUAUGGCAUAAUGUAUCUAGCAAAAAUUACAAGUUUUUAUUGUUGAAAUAUCAAAAAAUAGUGCCUGUAAUGCAGAAAGAAUGCAUUGCCAGGCACAAUUACUGUUAGGUAAAAAGCAAUCACUGUUGUUGAUUCAGACUUGGUUUUCCUGCCUUUUGUAUUGUCAAGUAUUGGCUUGACAAAGUGUUAGGUAUCCCUAAUACAGUAUUCCAUGGAGAACUUAAGCAACAUGGCAUCUCAUUUUUCAAGGCUACCCAACAACAGAGCCUGAAGUAUAUAUAGCUUUCUUUUCUGGUCAUCAGUAACAUGGAAGAUAAUAAAAUAUUUAUGUU
Molecule: long non-coding RNA, 1414 nt
Organism: Gallus gallus (chicken)
Lineage: Eukaryota; Metazoa; Chordata; Aves; Galliformes; Phasianidae
Source: Ensembl